AUUUACAGAAAACAUUUCCAACCUGUGCAUGGGGGAUCAUUCUUCCAUCACCUAGAAUAUGAGGCCUCUGAGAGGAUGAGAAUGAGGGAAAAAACUACAAAGAAAAUGAUAGCAAAUACUAGCAAAGAAAAUGGAACAAGACAGAGGAUCCCAGGUGGGAAUCCACGGAGCUUGGGAAAUCCAUUGCUUUUAUAGUAAGUGGUAGGCUAUCCUGCUCUUUGUCCUGGAGAUUUCUCGCUGCAAACACAACCCUGAGAAAUGGCCCAGGUAAAUAGUAGUGGGCAGGGACGCUCAGAACCCGCAGCAGAUUGCCUCUCCCCUUCCUUCUGCAAUGUCUCCAGCACCCUCUACCGACAAAAUUAGCACUGUGCAGGUUGGCGAAGGAGAAAAGGGCUCAUGUCCACGUUGACUGAGCAGGUAAUGAAGACUGGGAUUUGUAGAUCAGAAGCACUAAUU
RNAcentral lists this long non-coding RNA (456 nucleotides) under Pongo abelii (Sumatran orangutan). RNAcentral's name for it is "lincRNA". The record is from RNAcentral. Lineage: Eukaryota; Metazoa; Chordata; Mammalia; Primates; Hominidae.